AUUUAGCCGAUGAAUCCCAAGUAGGACGAAACGCGCGUUCAGAAU
This 45-nucleotide non-coding RNA is filed under the name Schistosoma mattheei. Lineage: Eukaryota; Metazoa; Platyhelminthes; Trematoda; Strigeidida; Schistosomatidae. The record is from RNAcentral.